AGUGAACGCUGGCGGUAGGCCUAACACAUGCAAGUCGAACGGCAGCACAGUAAGAGCUUGCUCUUACGGGUGGCGAGUGGCGGACGGGUGAGGUAUACAUCGGAAUCUACUUUUUCGUGGGGGUUAACGUAGGGAAACUUACGCUAAUACCGCAUACGACCUACGGGUGAAAGCAGGGGAUCUUCGGACCUUGCGCGAUUGAAUGAGCCGAUGUCGGACUAGCUAGUUGGCGGGUUAAAGGCCCACCAAGGCGACGAUCCGUAGCUGGUCUGAGAGGAUGAUCAGCCACACUGGAACUGAGACACGGUCCAGACGCCUACGGGAGGCAGCAGUGGGGAAUAUUGGACAAUGGGCGGAAGCCUGAUCCAGCCAUACCGCGUGGGUGAAGAAGGCGUUCGGGUUGUAAAGCCCUUUUGUUGGGAAAGAAAAGCAGCAGGUUAAUACCACGCUGUACUGACGGUACCCAAAGAAUAAGCACCGGCUAACUUCGUG
Molecule: ribosomal RNA, 492 nt
Filed under: uncultured bacterium
Lineage: Bacteria
Description: partial 16S ribosomal RNA
Rfam family: Bacterial small subunit ribosomal RNA
Source: RNAcentral